RNAcentral lists this ribosomal RNA (395 nucleotides) under uncultured bacterium. RNAcentral's name for it is "partial 16S ribosomal RNA". It matches the Rfam family "Bacterial small subunit ribosomal RNA", at positions 523 to 918 of the family's 1533-position model. The record is from RNAcentral.
AUACGUAGGGUGCAAGCGUUAAUCGGAAUUACUGGGCGUAAAGCGUGCGCAGGCGGUUUUGUAAGACAGAGGUGAAAUCCCCGGGCUCAACCUGGGAACUGCCUUUGUGACUGCAAGGCUAGAGUACGGCAGAGGGGGAUGGAAUUCCGCGUGUAGCAGUGAAAUGCGUAGAUAUGCGGAGGAACACCGAUGGCGAAGGCAAUCCCCUGGGACUGUGCUGACGCUCAUGCACGCAAGCGUGGGGAGCAAACAGGGUUAGAUGCCCGGUUAGUCCACGCCCUAAACGAUGUCAACUGGUUGUUGGGUCUUAACGGACUCAGUAACGAAGCUAACGCGUGAAGUUGACAGCCUGGGGAGUACGGCCGCAAGGUUGAAACUCAAAGGAAUUGACGGGG